Molecule: ribosomal RNA, 459 nt
Filed under: uncultured bacterium
Lineage: Bacteria
Description: partial 16S ribosomal RNA
Rfam family: Bacterial small subunit ribosomal RNA
Source: RNAcentral
CCUACGGGCGGCAGCAGUGAGGAAUAUUGGUCAAUGGCCGAGAGGCUGAACCAGCCAAGUCGCGUGAGGGAAGACGGCCCUACGGGUUGUAAACCUCUUUUGUCGGGGAGCAAAGAGAGUCACGUGUGACUCAUUGAGAGUACCCGAAGAAAAAGCAUCGGCUAACUCCGUGCCAGCAGCCGCGGUAAUACGGAGGAUGCGAGCGUUAUCCGGAUUGAUUGGGUUUAAAGGGUGCGCAGCCGGGGGUGCAAGUCAGCGGUCGAAUUGCGGGGCUCAACCCCGUACUGCCGUUGAAACUGCAUCCCUUGAGUGCGCGAGAAGUAUGCGGAAUGCGUGGUGUAGCGGUGAAAUGAAUAGAUAUCACGCAGAACUCCGAUUGCGAAGGCAGCAUACCGGCGCGCAACUGACGCUCAUGCACGAAAGCGUGGGUAUCGAACAGGAUUAGAUACCCCAGUAGUC